CGAUGUUCUGCUAGUGAAGAUCCCGCCUGAAGCCGGAACGACCCACAGCAUUACAGAAAAGCUAAUGUUACUGACCUCAUCGCCGAAAAUAGCACUGCUGGCACCUUCACCGAAAGCAACGCGGAGACGCUUCCCACUGGUGCGAAAGACGCGGAGGCGCAGACAGAUUUCCUGCAGAUCCCCGCGAAAACAAGCCCUUUACGCAGCGUCGGGAAGGCGCAAGGAAUGCAAGCUCAACCACUGG
Long non-coding RNA from Dermacentor albipictus, 244 nucleotides. RefSeq lists it as uncharacterized. The record is from RefSeq and is a predicted model, not a curated record. NCBI's taxonomy places the organism in Eukaryota, Metazoa, Arthropoda, Arachnida, Ixodida, Ixodidae.